RNAcentral lists this signal recognition particle RNA (148 nucleotides) under Pan paniscus (pygmy chimpanzee). RNAcentral's name for it is "Metazoan signal recognition particle RNA". It matches the Rfam family "Metazoan signal recognition particle RNA". From Rfam's summary of the family: The signal recognition particle (SRP) is a universally conserved ribonucleoprotein. It is involved in the co-translational targeting of proteins to membranes. The eukaryotic SRP consists of a 300-nucleotide 7S RNA and six proteins: SRPs 72, 68, 54, 19, 14, and 9. The record is from Rfam by way of RNAcentral. Lineage: Eukaryota; Metazoa; Chordata; Mammalia; Primates; Hominidae. RNAcentral also lists the same sequence under 1 other name.
GCUGGGCGUGGUGGCGGGUGCCUGUAAUCCCAGUUACUUGGGAGGCUGAGGCAGCAGAAUUGCUUGUGCCCGGGAGGCAGAGGCUGCAGUGAGCUGAGAUCUUGCCACUGCACUCCAGCCCGGGCGACAGAGCGAGACUCUGUCUCAA